AUUAACUGGCGGCUGCCUACACAUGCAGUCGAACGGAGUAUCGGUAAUUGCUGCUUGAUUCGUGGGCGGAGGGGGGAGUGAGGCCUAUGAGUCUGACUGGUAGUGGGGGACAACGUUUCUUAGGGAACGCUAAUACCGCAUCCGUCCAAUUUGAGAAAGCAAGGGACCUUCAGUCCUUGCGCUAUCGGAUGAGCCUAGGUCGAUAUAGCUAUAACGAGAGGUAGGGGUUCAGCUAGGCCACGAUCCCUAACUGGUCUGAGAGGAAGAUCAUGACCCCUGGAACUGACACACAGGCCAAACUCCUACUCCUGGCAGCAGUGGGGAAUAUUGAUUAAGGGGUGAAAGCCUGAGCCAGACAUGCCGCGGGCGUGAGUAAGGACUUCGGAUUGGGAAUGUCUUUGAGUUGGGAGGAAGGGCAAGAAGCUAAUACCUAGCUGUUUUGACGUUGCCGACACAAAAAGAACCGGCUAAAUCUGUGCCGUAACCGCGGUAAUACAAAAGGGGAGAGCGAUAAUCGUAAUUACUGUUCGUAAACCGCGCGCACGUGGAUCGUUAAGUUGGAUGAGAAAGCCCCGGGCUCAGCCUGGCCACGGGAAUCCGAAACUGGUCAGGUAUACUAUGGUAAAGGGUGGGGGAAUUUCAUGUGUAGUGUUGAAAUGCAUAGAUAUAAAUAUCGAAACCAUUGGCGAAGGCGACCCCCUGGACUGAUACUGACACUGAUGUGCGAAAGCGAAGCGAGCAGACAAGACUAGAAUACCAUGCUAGUGCGACGCCGUACACGUAUAUCAACUAGACUUUGGGGAGUCCUCGACGAUUAUAGUUGGCGCUACCUAACGCUAUCACGUUGACCGCCUGGGCAGUAGAGCCGCGGCGUUAGAUCUCACUGCAUUUGAUGAGGGGUCGCUACAGCGACGCAGCAGUGGUGUGAUUCUAUUUGAUGCUACGAACGUACCAUACAUGCUUGCUGGCAGUAUCCUAAGGAUGGUGGCGUCGUAGGUCGACUCAGACGAUGAUGCUCCCUCCUGUCUGUCUGUUAUGGUGAGUAGUACGAACGAGGCCAUCUCUACUAUUUGCGGUAGUGGGCUUAGACAGUACGUCGACCUGAUGGAGAAGAGAAUGCCUUAUGCGUUACGCUCAUGCGUC
This 1143-nucleotide ribosomal RNA is filed under the name Pseudomonas putida. Its description in RNAcentral is "bacterial SSU rRNA". It matches the Rfam family "Bacterial small subunit ribosomal RNA", at positions 28 to 1216 of the family's 1533-position model. Lineage: Bacteria; Pseudomonadati; Pseudomonadota; Gammaproteobacteria; Pseudomonadales; Pseudomonadaceae. The record is from RNAcentral.